This 24-nucleotide non-coding RNA is filed under the name Cricetulus griseus (Chinese hamster). The record is from RNAcentral. Lineage: Eukaryota; Metazoa; Chordata; Mammalia; Rodentia; Cricetidae.
CCAGUGGAGAAGGGUGUGAAUUCA